This 420-nucleotide ribosomal RNA is filed under the name uncultured bacterium. RNAcentral's name for it is "bacterial SSU rRNA". It matches the Rfam family "Bacterial small subunit ribosomal RNA", at positions 355 to 774 of the family's 1533-position model. The record is from RNAcentral.
UAAGGAAUAUUGCUCAAUGGGAGAAACCCUGAAGCAGCAACGCCGCGUGGAGGAUGAAGGGUCUAUGACUUGUAAACUCCUGUAAAGAAGGAAAAAAUUCCCAUUAGAUGGGAGGUGAUGGUACUUCUGGAGUAAGCCCCGGCUAACUACGUGCCAGCAGCCGCGGUAAUACGUAGGGGGCAAGCGUUGUCCGGAUUUACUGGGUGUAAAGGGUGCUCAGGCGGAUUUGUAAGUCAGAGGUGAAAUCUUACAGCUUAACUGUGAAACUGCCUUUGAUACUGCAAGCCUAGAGUAUGGAAGAGAGUGAUGGAAUAUCUGGUGUAGCAGUGAAAUGCGUAGAUAUCAGAUAGAACACCAAUGGCGAAGGCAGUCACUUGGUCCAUUACUGACGCUAAAGCACGAAAGCGUGGGUAGCAAACA